Molecule: transfer RNA, 73 nt
Filed under: Planctomycetaceae bacterium
Lineage: Bacteria; Pseudomonadati; Planctomycetota; Planctomycetia; Planctomycetales; Planctomycetaceae
Also listed under: 1 other name
Description: tRNA-Glu
Rfam family: tRNA
About the family: Transfer RNA (tRNA) molecules are approximately 80 nucleotides in length. Their secondary structure includes four short double-helical elements and three loops (D, anti-codon, and T loops). Further hydrogen bonds mediate the characteristic L-shaped molecular structure. tRNAs have two regions of fundamental functional importance: the anti-codon, which is responsible for specific mRNA codon recognition, and the 3' end, to which the tRNAs corresponding amino acid is attached (by aminoacyl-tRNA synthetases). tRNAs cope with the degeneracy of the genetic code in two manners: having more than one tRNA (with a specific anti-codon) for a particular amino acid; and 'wobble' base-pairing, i.e. permitting non-standard base-pairing at the 3rd anti-codon position.
Source: RNAcentral
GCCCCCAUCGUCUAGAGGCCCAGGACUCCGGGUUCUCAGUCCGGCAACAGGGGUUCGAAUCCCCUUGGGGGUA